GCUGUCCUAGAUCAGAACCACAGGCAUGACCCAGCUGCUCAGCUCUGCCUGUGACACUGGGGCAAAGAGCAAGUGGCUCUUUCUAUGCUCAGUGUUCAGAAGCCAGUGAGCACUAAGAAUGGUUAAUAGCCUGACAUUA
RNAcentral lists this small nucleolar RNA (139 nucleotides) under Mus pahari (shrew mouse). RNAcentral's name for it is "predicted gene, 22504 (MGP_PahariEiJ_G0033958.1)". It matches the Rfam family "Small nucleolar RNA SNORA43". Rfam says of the family: ACA43 is a member of the H/ACA class of snoRNA that guide the sites of modification of uridines to pseudouridines. The record is from RNAcentral. Lineage: Eukaryota; Metazoa; Chordata; Mammalia; Rodentia; Muridae.